UUUUUUGGUUCUAUAGAGGCACCGUCCGCUGCUAUAGUUUCAUUGGCUGGAGGAGUAUCAGCUGAUCAGUUCCCAGUGACGUUCAACAUGGCGGCGUCAGGAGUAACCAACCUGUGCUGAAAAUGUGGAGCUCCGUCUUGACAGGGAGCUGUAGCUCCAAGCCAUAAGGUCACGGCCUCAAUUGCAGCGUAAGGAACAUAAUGGUAGCCUGCAAGCCUCAAAGAGCAUCAGGGAUUUUCAGUCAGAAGACGUUCUUCUGGCAAAGGCAUGGAGGAUGAACAGCUGCAGGAGAUGAAAAUAGAUAAUGCUGAUCUGAUGCAAAAUGUGGCUCAGUCACCUAACGCAGAGACCAGUGGUAGCUGUGAGCCCAUGCAAAAUGGCAAAACCUUGAUUACUGAAGGGAAGGCAAGAAUAAUUUUCCCAUGUGCCAAUGAAGUCUUCUACAACCCUGUUCAAGAGUUCAACAGAGACCUCACGUGUGCAGUCAUUACAGAAUUUGCUCGUCUGCAGCUUUCAUCAAAAGGGAUUCGGCUUGCUGUCCCUGGAGAGGAAAAUAGCUCUAAAGUGGUGGCGGAUCUCUCAAAAGAAGAGAAAGAUGAUAAUUUGGAACAGCAUCCUUCUGAUGAUCAGCUGCAAGAGGAAGGUCAUAAAGUUGCAGCAGUGGGACAAGUCUGCCAGGAUGGGCUGAGAGUGCUGGAGGCCUUGGCUGCUUCUGGGCUACGCUCAAUUAGGUUUGCCAAGGAGGUUCCUGGCCUUCGCAGCGUGGUGGCUAAUGACUUCUCUUCCAAGGCUGUGGAACUCAUAACCCAAAAUGUUCAGCUUAAUGAUGUGGGUCACCUGGUGACUCCAAGCUUUUCAGAUGCCCGGAUGGUGAUGUAUCAGUGUAAGGCAGACAAAGCACUCUUUGAUGUCAUCGAUCUGGACCCAUACGGCAGCCCUUCCACUUUUCUGGAUGCUGCAGUGCAGGCUGUCAGUGAGGGAGGUCUCCUGUGUGUCACAUGUACCGAUAUGGCUGUAAUGGCUGGGAACUCUGGGGAGACUUGCUACAGCAAAUAUGGGGCUAUGUCGAUCAAGGCCAGGUUCUGCCAUGAAAUGGCCUUGCGGAUUAUCUUGCACAGUCUUGACCUGCGUGCCAACUGCUACCAGCGUUACAUUGUCCCACUCCUGUCCGUCAGUGUUGAUUUUUACAUUCGUGUUUAUGUCCGGGUCUUCACCGCACAGUCUAAGGUCAAAGCGUCUGCCAGCAAACAGGCCUUGGUCUAUAACUGUGUGGGCUGUGGUUCCUUUCACAUACAGAGACUUGGCAAGAUGGCUCACAACGGAAACAAUAUCAACUACAAGGCUGCCUGUGGGCCUCCCGUGGGCCCUUCCUGUGAACACUGCCACCAACGCCACCAGCUGGCUGGCCCUUUCUGGGCAGAGCCUCUCCACGACAUGGCCUUUGUCCAGCAAGUCCUCUCAGCUGUUGGGAGCAACCCAGGACGCUUCCAAACAGGCCAACGGAUUCAAGGCAUCCUGAGCAUGGCAUUGGAGGAACUCAGUGAUGUCCCUCUUUAUUACACCCUUGAUAAUCUCAGCAAAACCGUCCACUGCAGCAGUCCUUCCUUGCUGCAGUUCAGAUCGGCUCUCCUCCAUGCUGGCUACCGGGUGUCGCUCUCACAUGCCUGCAAGAGUGCCAUCAAGACAGAUGCACCGCCACCAGUAGUUUGGGACAUCAUGCGCUGCUGGGAGAAGCUCAACCCUGUGAAGAGAGAGCGCCUGUCAGAGAGCAGCCCAGCUGCCCGCAUUCUCUCCUUAGAGCCCAAGUUACAGGCCUCCUUCACUGUCCGAGCAGAUGCUAAUCCUAGUUCACGAAAACAGGGCCUCAAAAGAUUCCAGUUGAAUCCAGAGCGCUUCUGGGGGCCAAAAGCAAGAGCAAAAGCUGGGGGAGGGGUUUCUUCUAAUCUUCAGGAGAAGAGAAAGCUACACCAGAACAAGAGGAAGGCAUGUGGAGAAGAGAGUGAUGGGGCCCACUUGAAGAAUUUCCCCUGCAAAAGAUUCCGGCAGUGAGUGAAACGCCACUGAGUAUCAAUCUGGAUUCAAUGCACUCACUCAAGAGCAAGAGAGGGUAACUGUUCACUUGGGGACAAAUGCCGUUACUCCCAUGAAACAGAAAAAGAGAGAGAGCCAAGGGAUGCAUCAUGAUGACAUUGUUCCAGAACACCUGCUUGGGUUUAACUUUUGUUACAAGGGAGAGCCUUUAUUUUAAAAUGAUUGUCCCUUGAUUGUCUGCUUGUCAUUAAAUAAGAAUAUCUUUUAA
This is an RNA transcript of Anolis carolinensis (green anole), 2299 nucleotides long. It is a transcript of the gene named tRNA methyltransferase 1, with no coding region annotated. The transcript is spliced from 19 exons. The record is from RefSeq and is a predicted model, not a curated record. NCBI's taxonomy places the organism in Eukaryota, Metazoa, Chordata, Lepidosauria, Squamata, Anolidae.